This 542-nucleotide ribosomal RNA is filed under the name uncultured fungus. Its description in RNAcentral is "SSU rRNA". It matches the Rfam family "Eukaryotic small subunit ribosomal RNA", at positions 288 to 822 of the family's 1831-position model. The record is from RNAcentral. Lineage: Eukaryota; Fungi.
GAUCGCAUCAUUCAAAUAUCUGCCCUAUCAACUUUCGAUGGUAGGAUAGAGGCCUACCAUCGGGUUCAACCGGGUCAACCGGGGAAUCAAGCGGUUCGAUUCCGGAGAGGGAGCCUGAGAAACGGCUACCAAUCCAAGGAAGGCAGCAGGCGCGCAAAUUAACCAAUCCCGACACGGGGAGGUAGUGACAAUAAAUAACAAUAUAGGGCUCUUAUGGGUCUGAUCAAUUCGGAAUGAGUACAAUUUAAAUCUCUUAACGAGGAACAAUUGGAGGGCAAGUCUGGUGCCAGCAGCCGCGGUAAUUCCAGCUCCAAUAGCGUAAUAUUAAAGUUGUUAGCAGUUAAAAAGCUCGUAGUUGAACUUCAGAUCUGGUUGAGUGGUCCGCCUAACGGUGUGUUACUGCUUGACUGGGUCUUGUCUCUUGGUGAAACGUUGUGUCCUUUAUUCGGAUGCUUCAGGGGAACCAGGACCUUUAUACCUUGAGAAAAUUAGAGUGUUCAAAGCAGGCCUAUGCCCGAAUACAUUAGCAUGGAAUAAUAGAA